UACGGAGGGUGCAAGCGUUAUCCGGAUUCACUGGGUUUAAAGGGUGCGUAGGCGGGUUGGUAAGUCCGUGGUGAAAUCCCCAAGCUUAACUUGGGAACUGCCGUGGAUACUAUCAAUCUUGAAUAUCGUGGAGGUAAGCGGAAUAUGCCAUGUAGCGGUGAAAUGCUUAGAUAUGACAUAGAACACCAAUUGCGUAGGCAGCUUACUACACGAUCAUUGACGCUGAGGCACGAAAGCGUGGGGAGCAAACAGG
RNAcentral lists this ribosomal RNA (253 nucleotides) under uncultured bacterium. Its description in RNAcentral is "partial 16S ribosomal RNA". It matches the Rfam family "Bacterial small subunit ribosomal RNA", at positions 524 to 776 of the family's 1533-position model. The record is from RNAcentral.